AAGCAACGGUCCCGUAGGAUCACCGAAGUUAAGCAACGUCGAGCCUGAUAAUUACUUAGAUGGGUGACCAUUUGGGAAUACUAAAUGCUGUAGG
Non-coding RNA from Acanthosepion pharaonis, 94 nucleotides. NCBI's taxonomy places the organism in Eukaryota, Metazoa, Mollusca, Cephalopoda, Sepiida, Sepiidae. The record is from the annotation of a GenBank genome assembly.